AUGAAGGAGCCCCUGCUUUCAAGGCAGAAGUCUUCAGCCUGCCGGGGGGUGCCCUGCCCUGCCCCUGCCCCCCCCCCCCCAGCAGCCGGGCCUGCUCCGCGGGUCUGCGAGCCGCCCUCCCCGCCGGUGCCCCCGGGCCGACCCUCCCUCCCGCGGCCCCGCCUUCCCUCCCGAGCCCCGCUCCGCGGCCCCGGACUCACCUGCGGGGGGCGCCGGCCUUCCUUCCGAGCAGCGUCGGGGGCCAAGCCCCAGGGGAGGUCGGGGGGCCCCCCAGGCUCCCUAGGGCGGGCUUCUGUGUCUGGAGUCGGCCCCUGGCCGCGGGGGGGUCCCCAGGGGCGCCGCGGGAGACAUCGGGGCGGUGGGGGCGGGGCCUCUGCGCUCCCGGGACGCGGGCAGGACCGGCCUCCCGCAGGACGCGCGGGGGCCCGAGGCCACAGGUGCCCGCGCGUGGGCCGGCGUCGGAGGGCGCGGAGGGCGCGGGGAUCCCCCAGCCCACGCGGGCGUCCCCGGGCUCGGCUCGGUGCGGGCAGGUCCGCGGGGGCGGGCGGGGCCGGGGCGCGGGGGGCGCGGGAGGGGGGAGGGGAGGGGAGCGCAGGGGGGCGCGGAGGGGAGGAGAGCGCAGGGGGCCCGGAGGGGAGCGCAGGGGGGCGCGGAGGGGAGGAGAGCGCAGGGGGCCCGGAGGGGAGCGCAGGGGGGCGGGAGGGGAGGGGAGCGCAGAGGGGCACGGAGGGGGAGGGGAGGGGAGCGCAGGGGGGCGCGGAGGGGGAGGGGAGGGGAGCGCAGGGGGCGCGGAGGGGGAGGGGAGGCGAGCGCAGGGGGGCGCAGGGGGCGCGGAGGGGGAGGGGAGGGGAGCGCAGGGGGGCGCGGAGGGGGAGGGGAGCGCAGGGGGGCGCAGGGGGCGCGGAGGGGGAGGGGAGGGGAGCGCAGGGGGGGAGGGGGAGGGGAGGCGAGCGCAGGGGGCGCAGGGGGCGCGGAGGGGGAGGGGAGGCGAGCGCAGGGGGGGCGCGCGGCGGGCCGGGCCCGGGCGCCCGGGGCUCGCAGCCUCCGCCGCGCUGCGCUCCUCCCGGCUCGCCGCGUCGCCAGCCCCCGGGCGCGGGUGAGGCUGCGGGGAGCCGGGGGCAGAGCGGCGCGGGGCCGGGGGCCUCCCUCCGCCGCCUCGCCCGGCCCUGCGCUGCCCGGCCCCGCGGGGCCCCGCCGGCCUGGCCCGCGCCUCGGCCCCUCGGCCCCUCGCCCUCGGCCCCUCGGCCCCUCGGCCCCUCGGCCCCUCCGCCCCGCGGCCCCGCGGCCCCUCCGGCCCGCCGCCCCUCCCGCCCUCGGCCCUCGGCCCCGCCGCCCCCGCCGGCCCGGCCGCCCCCCGCCGCCUCCCGCAGCGGCGCCCGCUCGCCCGGCCCGGCCCGGCGCUGGCGGAGAAGGGCGGCCCCGCGCGCCGGGAGGGAGCUUUUAAAGCGACACACACGCCGCCCAGCGCCGAGCGCGCCCGCCGGGGGCUCGGCUCCGAGUGACGCUGGGGCCCCGCGCCCCGGGCCUAGGCGCCCUCGCCCGGAGCGACCCCGCGGGACCCGCCCCCCGCCCCGUGACCCCGCCCCCUCCGCGGGGCGCCCGAGCGCCUCUUGGGCCUGA
RNAcentral lists this long non-coding RNA (1620 nucleotides) under Canis lupus familiaris (dog). Its description in RNAcentral is "lncRNA (ENSCAFG00040017898.1)". The record is from RNAcentral. Lineage: Eukaryota; Metazoa; Chordata; Mammalia; Carnivora; Canidae.